Molecule: ribosomal RNA, 250 nt
Filed under: uncultured bacterium
Lineage: Bacteria
Description: partial 16S ribosomal RNA
Rfam family: Bacterial small subunit ribosomal RNA
Source: RNAcentral
UACGAAUGGAGCGAGCGUUGUUCGGAAUCACUGGGCGUAAAGGGUGCGCAGGCGGUCUUGAAAGUUAGAAGUGAAAGCCCCGGGCUUAACCCGGGAAUUGCUUUUAAAACUCCAAGACUAGAGUACUGGAGAGGUUAGCGGAAUUCCAAGUGUAGCAGUGAAAUGCGUAGAUAUUUGGAGGAACACCAAUGGCGUAGGCAGCUAACUGGACAGUAACUGACGCUCAUGCACGAAAGCGUGGGGAUCAAAC